Citrus sinensis (sweet orange) is the source of this 107-nucleotide non-coding RNA. The record is from Rfam. NCBI's taxonomy places the organism in Eukaryota, Viridiplantae, Streptophyta, Magnoliopsida, Sapindales, Rutaceae.
AUACAAUGAUGAGGACAUAUCCUGAAUAACUCCUUAAAUUUCUCCCAUGCAUUAUAUAAACUCUAAUAUUCAAGUUGAUGGAAAGAUGUGAUCUCAUUCAUUAAUUU